This is a long non-coding RNA of Oncorhynchus keta (chum salmon), 326 nucleotides long. RefSeq lists it as uncharacterized. Lineage: Eukaryota; Metazoa; Chordata; Actinopteri; Salmoniformes; Salmonidae. The transcript is spliced from 5 exons. The record is from RefSeq and is a predicted model, not a curated record.
CACCUGUCACACACUGAAGACCUAUAGGUUCACCACUGUACUAACCUGUCACAUACUGAAGACCUAUAGGUUCACCACUGUAUUAACCUGUCACACACUGAAGACCUAUAGGUUCACCACUGUAUUAACCUGUCACACACUGAAGACCUAUAGGUUCACCACUGUAUUAACCUGUCACACACUGAAGACCUAUAGGUUCACCACUGUAUUAACCUGUCACACACUGAAGACCUAUAGGUUCACCACUGUACUAACCUGUCACACACUGAAGGCCUAUAGGUUCACCACUGUACUAACCUGUAACACACUGAAGACCUAUAGGUUCA